UGAGGAAUAUUGGUCAAUGGGCGGAAGCCUGAACCAGCCAUGCCGCGUGCGGGAAGAAGGCGCUACGCGUCGUAGACCGCUUUUGUCCGGGGGUAACCGCGGGGACGUGUCCCCGCCUGCAAGUACCGGACGAAUAAGGGUCGGCUAACUCCGUGCCAGCAGCCGCGGUAAUACGGAGGACCCGAGCGUUAUCCGGAUUCAUUGGGUUUAAAGGGUGCGUAGGCGGCCCGGUAAGUCAGCGGUGAAAGGCUCCUGCUCCACAGGAGAGGUGCCGUUGAGACUGCUGGGCUAGAAGAUUAGCGAGGCGGGAGGAAGGCGAGGGGUAGCGGUGAAAUGCAUAGAUAUCGCGCAGAACGACGAGUGGGG
This 366-nucleotide ribosomal RNA is filed under the name uncultured bacterium. RNAcentral's name for it is "bacterial SSU rRNA". It matches the Rfam family "Bacterial small subunit ribosomal RNA", at positions 355 to 718 of the family's 1533-position model. The record is from RNAcentral.